Molecule: ribosomal RNA, 181 nt
Filed under: uncultured bacterium
Lineage: Bacteria
Description: partial 16S ribosomal RNA
Rfam family: Bacterial small subunit ribosomal RNA
Source: RNAcentral
CAUGAAGUCGGAAUUGCUAGUAAUCGCGGAUCAGCAUGCCGCGGUGAAUACGUUCCCGGGCCUUGUACACACCGCCCGUCACACCAUGAGAGCCGGUAAUACCCGAAGUCCGUAGCCUAACCGCAAGGGGGCGCGGCCGAAGGUAGGACUGGUAAUUAGGGUGAAGUCGUAACAAGGUAGC